GGUAGUAGUGGGUGUAACGUACCUACUAGCCUACGACGGGUACGGGUUGUGAGAGCAAGAGCCCGGAGAUGGAUUCUGAGUCACGAAUCCAGGCCCUACGGGGUGCAGCAGGCGCGAAAACUUUACAAUGCUGGAAACAGCGAUAAGGGGACCUCGAGUGCCAGGAUACAAUCCUGGCUGUCGUAAUGCCUAAAAAGCAUUGCAUACAAGGGCCGGGCAAGACCGGUGCCAGCCGCCGCGGUAACACCGGCGGCUCGAGUGGUAACCGCUAUUAUUGGGUCUGAAGGGUCUGUAGCCGGCUGACUAAGUCUCUUGGGAAAUCUGACAGCUUAACUGCAGGCUUUCAGGAGAUACUGAUCGGCUCGAGACCGGGAGAGGUGAGAGGUACCUCAGGGGUAGGGGUGAAAUCUUGUAAUCCUUGAGGGACCACCAGUGGCGAAGGCGUCUCACCAGAACGGAUCUGACGGCAAGGGACGAAAGCUAGGGGC
Molecule: ribosomal RNA, 488 nt
Filed under: uncultured archaeon
Lineage: Archaea
Description: bacterial SSU rRNA
Rfam family: Archaeal small subunit ribosomal RNA
Source: RNAcentral